ACCCGACUCCAUGAAGCUGGAUUCGCUAGUAAUCGCGCAUCAGCCACGGCGCGGUGAAUACGUUCCCGGGCCUUGUACACACCGCCCGUCAAGCCAUGGAAGCCGGGAGUGCCUGAAGUGCGUGAGCGCAAGCAGCGCCCUAAGGUAAAACCGGUGACUGGGGCUAAGUCGUAACAAGGUACC
This 183-nucleotide ribosomal RNA is filed under the name uncultured bacterium. RNAcentral's name for it is "partial 16S ribosomal RNA". It matches the Rfam family "Bacterial small subunit ribosomal RNA", at positions 1310 to 1500 of the family's 1533-position model. The record is from RNAcentral.